Molecule: long non-coding RNA, 343 nt
Filed under: Salmo salar (Atlantic salmon)
Lineage: Eukaryota; Metazoa; Chordata; Actinopteri; Salmoniformes; Salmonidae
Description: lncRNA (ENSSSAG00000084486.1, ENSSSAG00000100563.1)
Source: RNAcentral
GGGAGACAGAGAGGAGUUGAGAGACAGAGAGAGAUGUUGUGUUGGGAGAAAGAGAGAGGUGUUGUGGUGUGUUGGGAGACAGGGAGAUGUGAUGGGUUGUGAUCGGAGACAGAUAGGCUUUGGGAGACAGAGAGAGGUGUUGUGGUGUGUUGGGAGACAUAGAGAGGUUUUGUGGUGUGUUUUGAUACGGAGAGAGGUGUUGUGGUGGUUGGGAGACAGAGAGGGGUUUUUGGAGACAGAGAGAGGUGGUGUGUUGGGAGACAGAGAGAGAUGGUGUGUUGGGAGACAGAGAGAGGUGUUGUGAUGUGUUUUUUGACAAAGAAGUAUUGUUAUGUGUUGAGAU